GACGAACGCUGGCGGCGUGCUUAACACAUGCAAGUCGAACGGAAAGGCCCCUUUGGGGGUACUCGAGUGGCGAACGGGUGAGUAACACGUGAGUAACCUGCCCUUGACUUCGGGAUAACUUCAGGAAACUGGGGCUAAUACCGGAUAGGAAUCCUUGCUGCAUGGUGGGGGUUGGAAAGCUUCGGCGGUUUUGGAUGGACUCGCGGCUUAUCAGCUUGUUGGUGGGGUAGUGGCUUACCAAGGCUUUGACGGGUAGCCGGCCUGAGAGGGCGACCGGCCACAUUGGGACUGAGAUACGGCCCAGACUACUACGGGAGGCAGCAGUGGGGAAUAUUGCACAAUGGGCGGAAGCCUGAUGCAGCAAGGCCGCGUGCGGGAUGACGGACUUCGGGUUGUAAACCGCUUUCAGCAGGGGCGAAGCUUGUGGUGACGGUACCUGCAGAAGGAGCACCGGCUAACUACGUG
Molecule: ribosomal RNA, 465 nt
Filed under: uncultured bacterium
Lineage: Bacteria
Description: partial 16S ribosomal RNA
Rfam family: Bacterial small subunit ribosomal RNA
Source: RNAcentral